Vicia villosa (hairy vetch) is the source of this 1214-nucleotide long non-coding RNA. RefSeq lists it as uncharacterized. The transcript is spliced from 2 exons. Lineage: Eukaryota; Viridiplantae; Streptophyta; Magnoliopsida; Fabales; Fabaceae. The record is from RefSeq and is a predicted model, not a curated record.
UCUCUCUCUCUCUCUCUCUCUCUCUCUCUAAUAUUUUCUCUCUUCUUUUUUAUCAAAUUUUCUUCAUUUCCUUAAUUCAAUUACGACUGCUUUUUGUGAAGGAGAGAAAAGGAUGGAAGGAGAGGAUCCAUGGUCCCAAUAAUUGGGUCAAUCAAGUGUAUUGGACCUUGGUGUUCUAUUAGGAACACUCUUAAUAAUAAAUUUAUGUUCCACUCAUCCUUAAGGAUGAUCAAAGAUAAAUGACAUAUUUUAUGAUAGAAUAAUGAAAUGGUAGGAUGUUUUAAAGAUAUUCUAACAAUUACAGAAUUCGAUGGGCAGGAGUCCUCCUAACAUUGAAAGAAACUAUAUAAAAUAUAAAUGCAAAUAGAGACUAGUUAAUCUACACGACUACAUGGACACAUUAUAUGCAAAACUUGGUCCAGAUGAAGACAUUUGAUUCAUCUUUUAUUGAUGCAAGGCCAAGAUAGAUAUUAAAUCAAUGUAUCAAACCACAGUUUCACAUCAAUGCCAUUACAUGUCAUUUUAGAUUUUUAGUCAGGGAUGCGGAAGAUAAAUUGGCGGGGUUACAUUGAAAAGUAAAAUCUUUUUCUUUUUGUUUUGUUUGGGGUGCUGCUGAUUGCAUUUUACAUUUAAGAAUGUUCUGGAAGUUCACGGGUAUGUUGCUCUUUUGUGUUGACUUUGCCAAUACUCUUGCGUUGCAGUUGAACUGAAGAAGAAACCCUCCAAAUUAAAGAGACCAUCUAUUAAGUCGCUUUUUGAUUCCGAUUCCGAUUCAACGUCGACUGAGGUUUCUGAUAAGUCUCCAAAUGAUCGGUCUGUUCAAGGAAGCUUUUUAAACCUCUUGCCACCCAGGUUAGGGGCAUCUCAUAGUGAGAGGAGUCUUUCUCAUAAAUCCUAAUAAGGCAAUCUCUGAUCUAUCCAGUCAAACGGCGUAGGUAUCAUAACUCAUGCAUAUAUUUGAUUGUGUUUUAAAUGCCGCUCUAAAUGCAAUUCCAUGUUUGGAUUUGUUAUCUCGGUCACUAAUUAAUGAUUAUGACAAAAUGUUAUAAGAAAGUGCUGUGUCUUGAGUCAAGUAAUUAACCUCAAGCUUGCUUGAACGAGUAUUUUCUGUCAAGCACAAAUAUUGAAUUGUAAAUCUCUUACUGUUCAUUGUCAAAUAUGCUACUCUGUAAACAGAUGCUUGAUCUCAAUGAAUUAUGAAUAUUCUAUGUUUA